Molecule: ribosomal RNA, 253 nt
Filed under: uncultured bacterium
Lineage: Bacteria
Description: partial 16S ribosomal RNA
Rfam family: Bacterial small subunit ribosomal RNA
Source: RNAcentral
UACGUAGGGUGCAAGCGUUAAUCGGAAUUACUGGGCGUAAAGCGUGCGCAGGCGGUUGUGCAAGACCGAUGUGAAAUCCCCGGGCUUAACCUGGGAAUGGCAUUGGUGACUGCACGGCUAGAGUGUGUCAGAGGGGGGUAGAAUUCCACGUGUAGCAGUGAAAUGCGUAGAGAUGUGGAGGAAUACCGGUGGCGAAGGCAGCCCCCUGGGAUAACACUGACGCUCAUGCACGAAAGCGUGGGGAGCAAACAGG